Zootermopsis nevadensis is the source of this 1194-nucleotide long non-coding RNA. RefSeq lists it as uncharacterized. Lineage: Eukaryota; Metazoa; Arthropoda; Insecta; Blattodea; Termopsidae. The record is from RefSeq and is a predicted model, not a curated record.
AGUCAGGGAUAUUAUAAUACAAAUACAAUACUUGUUUCUUAUACAAAUGUAAAUUGACAGUAAUAUACAGUCAACAACAGAAUUACCACAAAAGUAAUUACAUAAGACAGCAUACCCACUGUUGCUUAUAAGUAUUUAUAAUAGCUAAGAAUUUUGUUCGAGGUAAAUUCUUCUAUCUAGUAGAAGGAGUGAGACAGGAGAUGCUCCUUCAGUAAUCGCUUACACUUCUAAAUAUUAUGAUUCGGACUUUUUACAAGGGGGGGGGGGUGAAUUAUUGAAUAGCUUAAUUCCAAAAUAAUAUAUAUAUUUUUUUUACUGAGUUUAGAGUGUGGCAUAUGAAAGUUAUGUCUGUAUCUUAUACUUAUAUUGUGGAUAUCUGAGUGUGAAAAUUUUCCAUGUUGUUUAUUACAGAUGAUAAUAAGAACAAGAAUUCACUGAGUGAGUGGAGCCAACGAGAGGUCUGGUGCGACGCCGAGUAAGGACUGGUCGGCUACGUGAGCGACCACCGGGUACGUGGACCGUGGCGGCCGAGGAGCCAGCGGGUGUCCAGUGGGGUGCUACGGGCCGACGCCGAGUAAGGACUGGUCGGCUGCGUGAGCAAGCACCGGGUACGUGGACCGGAGCGGCCGAGGGGCCAGCGUGUGUCCAGUGGGGUGCUACGGGCCGACUUGUAGGAGAAGAGUGUGAAGAGUGUGAAGAGCGGAGCUCGGGGACCAGAUAGACUCGAUGGACAGAGCGAGAGAAUGUGUGUGUGUGCGCGCACAGAGACUCGAGUGUGUUGUUGUUGUAGAGAGAUGACUGUAUGUGUAGACCUCUGUAUCUGAUUUAAUUUGACGUGAAUAAAUCAGGAUUGACAAUCCAGGUCGCAACGCCGACCCACGUUACAAUAUAUAUAUGAGGAAAAGCAGAAGACCAAGUGCAGAACUCAGUUAUAGUCUUGAGUAUUAAGCUUGGAGUAUUCAAGUUGUCUUCACUAAACAGUUUAUGUUGUUCUCGGAGAAGAGGAAAAUAUUUAACAAAUGACAAGAGACGAGUCAGCUGAGAGUAAUUUUUGUUACUUAACAUUGAAAUGUUUUAUCCUGCAAUCUUAAAGUAUGUUGUCAAUUUUUAUUGUAGAACAACUUAUUGAUAUCUGUUCCUUUACCUCUCCAGGUUGACACUGGUGAUCCUGAAAUAAAAGUAACUGUCAACAAA